Molecule: ribosomal RNA, 544 nt
Filed under: Phyllonastes myrmecoides (Loreto leaf frog)
Lineage: Eukaryota; Metazoa; Chordata; Amphibia; Anura; Craugastoridae
Description: Noblella myrmecoides (Loreto leaf frog) partial large subunit ribosomal RNA
Rfam family: Bacterial large subunit ribosomal RNA
Source: RNAcentral
GCCUNUUGCACAAAAUAAGAGGUCCAGCCUGCCCAGUGAGUAUUCAACGGCCGCGGUAUACUAACCGUGCGAAGGUAGCAUAAUCACUUGUUUUUUAAAUAAAGACUAGUAUGAAUGGCAUCACGAAAAUUAAGCUGUCUCUUUUAUCUAAUCAGUGAAACUAAUCCCCCCGUGAAGAAGCGGGGAUAAUUUUAUAAGACGAGAAGACCCUGUGGAGCUUUAAGCCUAUAGCACCAGCCCCCCCCCUCCACUUAAAUGGGCAUGCAUGACUCCUAAAGCUUUCGAUUGGGGCGAUCUUGGAGAACAAUUCAUCCUCCAAGCUGAAUCAUAAUACUAAACAAAAACCAACAACUUAAUGUAUCAACAAAUUGACACUCAUUGACCCAGUAACCUGAUCAACGAACCAAGUUACCCCAGGGAUAACAGCGCAAUCUUCUUUGAGAGUUCAUAUCGACAAGCAGGUUUACGACCUCGAUGUUGGAUCAGGGUCCCUAGGAGUGCAGCCGCCCCUAACGGUUCGUUUGUUCAACGAUUAAAACCCUAC